RNAcentral lists this ribosomal RNA (869 nucleotides) under bacterium. Its description in RNAcentral is "partial 23S ribosomal RNA". It matches the Rfam family "Archaeal large subunit ribosomal RNA", at positions 1 to 925 of the family's 2987-position model. The record is from RNAcentral.
CAUGUGAUGCUACAACCCAACUGGGGGAUCGCUCGGCUCGAGUGCCGACGAAGGUCGUGACAAGCUGCGAUAAGCUGCGGGGAGGUGCAUGUAUACCAUGGAUCCGCAGAUGGCUGAAUGGGACUUCCUGUAUCUUCGGAUACAAUCGCGAUGCGAUAGGGAACCCUCCGAAUUGAAGCAUCUUAGUAGGAGGAGGAAAUGAAAUCAAUAGAGAUUCCGUGAGUAGUGGCGAAUGAAAACGGAUCAGGACAAGCCGAAUCCCGAAACGAAAGUGAGGGAGAUGUGGUUGUCAGUCUUUUGUCUAAGUUAUGGAAGGUGAAAUUGCCUGGAACGGCAUAGCCAGAGAGGGUGAAAGUCCCGUAACCGUACAUAAUAUGACCACGUGACUGUCAAAGAGUAGCAUGCGUUGGAAAUCGCGUGUGAAUGUGGGACGCAAAUAGUUCCAAUCCUAAAUACAACUCGAGACCGAUAGUUUACAAGUAACGUGAGUGAAAGCUGAAAAGUAUCCUUAGCGGGAUGUGAAAAGAACGUGAAACCAGUUGGGUACAGGCUGAUUGGGCGUGAAAGCGAUGAUAUGAGCAGCGUCCAGUCGUGCGUUUAGAAAAAUGCCCCAGGGAGUCUUGAUCAUUGGCGAGGUUAAGCGGUUGAUCCGCGUAGCCGAAGGGAAACCGACAAGUCCGCAGCAGUUUACUGUGAGGGACGAAGUGUGCUCGCUUGGAGUCAAUGGUGGAGGACCUGAAGCCCGACGAUCUAUGCCUGGCCAGAUUGAAGCCCGUUGAAAGAUGGGUGGAGGAUCGAACCGUUGCUGAUCUGCAAAUCGCUCGGACGAGCUGGGUAUAGGGGUGAAAGUCCAAUCGAGUUGGGCAAUA